RNAcentral lists this ribosomal RNA (401 nucleotides) under uncultured ammonia-oxidizing bacterium. RNAcentral's name for it is "bacterial SSU rRNA". It matches the Rfam family "Bacterial small subunit ribosomal RNA", at positions 200 to 593 of the family's 1533-position model. The record is from RNAcentral.
CAGAUCGCAAGACCUUGCGCUCUUGGAGCGGCCGAUGUCUGAUUAGCUAGUUGGUGAGGUAAAGGCUUACCAAGGCGACGAUCAGUAGCUGGUCUGAGAGGACGACCAGCCACACUGGGACUGAGACACGGCCCAGACUCCUACGGGAGGCAGCAGUGGGGAAUUUUGGACAAUGGGGGAAACCCUGAUCCAGCCAUGCCGCGUGAGUGAAGAAGGCCUUCGGGUUGUAAAGCUCUUUCAGCCGGAACGAAACGGUCACGGCUAAUACCUGUGACUACUGACGGUACCGGAAGAAGAAGCACCGGCUAACUACGUGCCAGCAGCCGCGGUAAUACGUAGGGUGCAAGCGUUAAUCGGAAUUACUGGGCGUAAAGCGUGCGCAGGCGGUUUGUAAGUCAGAU